AAGCUAUAUUCGACCACCUUCAAUCUCUCUGGCUUUCGCUCUUCCUCUCCGCGGCCCUUUAUCUAUAUAAUCGAGGAGCAGCAACAUUAACCUUUAACAUCUUUGCGGCAGAAAAAACAUCCCAUAAAUUGCUUUCAUUGUUGGAUUUUUCAAUAUAAGCAAAAAAAAUGCCAGCCCAGAAACGCCCUUACGAGACCCAUCAAAAGGACGAUGAUCCUCUGCAGCGAGACCAACCCAACAACCACCG
RNAcentral lists this unclassified non-coding RNA (247 nucleotides) under Hevea brasiliensis (rubber tree). The record is from RNAcentral. Lineage: Eukaryota; Viridiplantae; Streptophyta; Magnoliopsida; Malpighiales; Euphorbiaceae.